UGAAGCAACAAAUGCCCUGCUUCCAGGAAAAGCCUCUAAGCAUCAGGUAACAUCAAAUCGUACCCCAAACCGACACAGGUGGUCAGGUAGAGAAUACCAAGGCGCUUGAGAGAACUCGGGUGAAGGAACUAGGCAAAAUGGUGCCGUAACUUCGGGAGAAGGCACGCUGACAUGUAGGUGAAGUGAUUUACUCAUGGAGCUGAAGUCAGUCGAAGAUACCAGCUGGCUGCAACUGUUUAUUAAAAACACAGCACUGUGCAAACACGAAAGUGGACGUAUACGGUGUGACGCCUGCCCGGUGCCGGAAGGUUAAUUGAUGGGGUCAGCGCAAGCGAAGCUCCUGAUCGAAGCCCCGGUAAACGGCGGCCGUAACUAUAACGGUCCUAAGGUAGCGAAAUUCCUUGUCGGGUAAGUUCCGACCUGCACGAAUGGCGUAAUGAUGGCCAGGCUGUCUCCACCCGAGACUCAGUGAAAUUGAACUCGCUGUGAAGAUGCAGUGUACCCGCGGCAAGACGGAAAGACCCCGUGAACCUUUACUAUAGCUUGACACUGAACAUUGAGCCUUGAUGUGUAGGAUAGGUGGGAGGCUUUGAAGCGUGGACGCCAGUCUGCGUGGAGCCGACCUUGAAAUACCACCCUUUAAUGUUUGAUGUUCUAACGUGGACCCGUAAUCCGGGUUGCGGACAGUGUCUGGUGGGUAGUUUGACUGGGGCGGUCUCCUCCUAAAGAGUAACGGAGGAGCACGAAGGUUGGCUAAUCCUGGUCGGACAUCAGGAGGUUAGUGCAAUGGCAUAAGCCAGCUUGACUGCGAGCGUGACGGCGCGAGCAGGUGCGAAAGCAGGUCAUAGUGAUCCGGUGGUUCUGAAUGGAAGGGCCAUCGCUCAACGGAUAAAAGGUACUCCGGGGAUAACAGGCUGAUACCGCCCAAGAGUUCAUAUCGACGGCGGUGUUUGGCACCUCGAUGUCGGCUCAUCACAUCCUGGGGCUGAAGUAGGUCCCAAGGGUAUGGCUGUUCGCCAUUUAAAGUGGUACGCGAGCUGGGUUUAGAACGUCGUGAGACAGUUCGGUCCCUAUCUGCCGUGGGCGCUGGAGAACUGAGGGGGGCUGCUCCUAGUACGAGAGGACCGGAGUGGACGCAUCACUGGUGUUCGGGUUGUCAUGCCAAUGGCACUGCCCGGUAGCUAAAUGCGGAAGAGAUAAGUGCUGAAAGCAUCUAAGCACGAAACUUGCCCCGA
This 1235-nucleotide ribosomal RNA is filed under the name Salmonella enterica subsp. enterica serovar Infantis. RNAcentral's name for it is "partial 23S ribosomal RNA". It matches the Rfam family "Bacterial large subunit ribosomal RNA", at positions 1586 to 2802 of the family's 2925-position model. Lineage: Bacteria; Pseudomonadati; Pseudomonadota; Gammaproteobacteria; Enterobacterales; Enterobacteriaceae. The record is from RNAcentral.